ACGCUCGACACCUACGGGGGCAGCAGUAGGGAAUCUUCCACAAUGGGCGCAAGCCUGAUGGAGCAACACCGCGUGAGUGAAGAAGGGUUUCGGCUCGUAAAGCUCUGUUGUUGGAGAAGAACGUGCGUGAGAGUAACUGUUCACGCAGUGACGGUAUCCAACCAGAAAGUCACGGCUAACUACGUGCCAGCAGCCGCGGUAAUCUGAGGCGGGCGUGGACGAAGGC
This 226-nucleotide ribosomal RNA is filed under the name uncultured bacterium. RNAcentral describes it as "partial 16S ribosomal RNA". It matches the Rfam family "Bacterial small subunit ribosomal RNA", at positions 328 to 545 of the family's 1533-position model. The record is from RNAcentral.